AAGUUCUGCACAACAGGCUGCAAGCGUAUAAAACAGCAAAGCCGAAAUCUCCAUCGUGAAGGGACUAUGCGUGGCUCUGUUUCAACAUACCUGAGAUUACUCUGAAGGAACAAUGAAGGCACUGCAAUUGGUAUUGCUUUUCAGCAUUAUGACGAUUGUUAUGGGCUCCAUCUGGGACCACAAGAAGUGCCUUUCAUUUUGCCGACCCAGAAGUGACAACGCUACCAACUGCGGCACUGGUUGCAAGUGCCAUCCUUUCCGCUAUAUGCCGAUGAUUGGAGGCUGCCUUGACGUCACUCUUCCAGUUCCCUGGAUGUUUCGUCCGAUGCGAAGGAUCUUAGGAAAAUAGCUACACGGUUUAAAGAAAACAAAAAGGGUACAAUAAACAGCUAAUGCUAUUACAAUACCA
Molecule: long non-coding RNA, 409 nt
Organism: Rhipicephalus microplus (southern cattle tick)
Lineage: Eukaryota; Metazoa; Arthropoda; Arachnida; Ixodida; Ixodidae
Source: RefSeq, a predicted model, not a curated record